This 268-nucleotide long non-coding RNA is filed under the name Elaeis guineensis (African oil palm). RNAcentral describes it as "long non-coding RNA (EGUI_LNC052517)". Lineage: Eukaryota; Viridiplantae; Streptophyta; Magnoliopsida; Arecales; Arecaceae. The record is from RNAcentral.
UGCUAUUUGAUGUGAUUGUAUAUAAAUUAAUUAAUAAAAUAUUUAUUUGAUAAUUUUUAUCAUAAGCUUGUACAUCUUCUAUAUCGAACGUCUGUGUUAUGAUUAAAGUCCUUAGGACUAUUUUAAAUCAAUAAAGAAAAAUUUAUCGUUUAGUCCUUAAAUGAGUUCGCAAUCAAAUGAUAUGCUAUUACUAGGAUGAUAGACAUAUCAAGUGUAGGUCGUUGUGUAUCAUAUAUCAUUGGUCGUCCUCUUAACUAAGGAGCGUGGA